UACGUAGGGUGCGAGCGUUGUCCGGAAUUAUUGGGCGUAAAGAGCUUGUAGGCGGUUUGUCGCGUCUGCCGUGAAAGCCCAGGGCUUAACCCUGGGUCUGCGGUGGGUACGGGCAGACUAGAGUGUGGUAGGGGAGACGUGGAAUUCCUGGUGUAGCGGUGAAAUGCGCAGAUAUCAGGAGGAACACCGAUGGCGAAGGCAGGUCUCUGGGCCGACUACU
Molecule: ribosomal RNA, 220 nt
Filed under: uncultured bacterium
Lineage: Bacteria
Description: partial 16S ribosomal RNA
Rfam family: Bacterial small subunit ribosomal RNA
Source: RNAcentral